GUAUAGUCCGAGAAGGGGAAUAGCUGGGUCAAAUGGUGGUUCCAUUCUCAGCUUUCCAAGGAAUCUCCAUACUGCUUUCCAAAUUGGCUGCACCAAUUUGCAGUCCCACCAGCAAUGUAUGAGUGUACCUUUUUCCCCGCUGGCGAGGAUGCCAGCACUUAUUGUUGUUUGACUUCAUAAUGGCUGCCAUUCUUAUUGGAGUGAGAUGGUAUCUUAUAGUAG
Molecule: long non-coding RNA, 222 nt
Filed under: Marmota monax (woodchuck)
Lineage: Eukaryota; Metazoa; Chordata; Mammalia; Rodentia; Sciuridae
Source: RNAcentral